RNAcentral lists this ribosomal RNA (433 nucleotides) under uncultured bacterium. Its description in RNAcentral is "partial 16S ribosomal RNA". It matches the Rfam family "Bacterial small subunit ribosomal RNA", at positions 29 to 507 of the family's 1533-position model. The record is from RNAcentral.
AACGAACGCUGGCGGCAUGCCUAACACAUGCAAGUCGAACGAGACCUUCCGGUCUAGUGGCGCACGGGUGCGUAACGCGUGGUAACCUGCCCUUAGGUUCGGAAUAGCUCCCCGAAAGGGGUGCUAAUACCGGCUAAUAUCUUCUGCCCAAAGAUUUAUCGCCUUUGGAUGGGCCCGCGUUGGAUUAGCUAGUUGGUAGGGUAAAAGCCUAUCAAGGCGACGAUCCAUAGCUGGUCUGAGAGAAUGAUCAGCCACACUGGGACUGAGACACGGCCCAGAAUCCUACGGGAGGCAGCAGUGGGGAAUACAGGAAUACGGGCGAAAGCCUGAUCCAGUUAUGCCGGGUGAGUGAUGAAGUACUGAGGGUAGUAAAGCUCUUUUACCCGGGAUGAUAAUGACAGUACCGGGAGAAUAAGCACCGGCUAACUCCGUG